Capra hircus (goat) is the source of this 4109-nucleotide RNA transcript. It is a transcript of the gene named dipeptidyl peptidase 9, with no coding region annotated. The record is from RefSeq and is a predicted model, not a curated record. The transcript is spliced from 23 exons. NCBI's taxonomy places the organism in Eukaryota, Metazoa, Chordata, Mammalia, Artiodactyla, Bovidae.
CCUGGGCUGCCGGGUACCCCGUGUCCGCCGGCGCCGCUGUGCCCCGCGCCCGCCACUUCCGGGGCCGCAGUCCCGGGCAUGGAGCCGCGAGUGUGAGGUGCCGCCGGCUCCGGGACGCCCUGCCCAGCCCGGCCGCCGCCCUCGCGCCGGCCCCCAGUCCCGGUCUGUGAACCACAUCUGCAGCUGAAAUGGAGGCUCUCUGGACUCUUUAGAAGGCUCACCCACCCUGAGGCCAGCCAAGUGGUUAAUGCGGAAGGUUAAGAAGCUGCGGCUGGACACCGUGAACGCAGGACAUUGGAGAAGCUUCUCGCUGAAUUCCCAGGGGGCGGAGAGGAUGGCCACCGGGGUGCUGACGUCUGAGCGGGGUGACGCGGCGGAGACGGAGGACCCGGCGUCCCGCUUCCAGGUGCAGAAGCACUCGUGGGAGGGGCUCCGCAGCAUCAUCCACGGUAGCCGCAAGAACUCGGGCCUCGUGGUCAACAAGGCGCCACACGACUUCCAGUUCGUGCAGAAGACUGACGAGUCAGGCCCCCACUCCCACCGCCUCUACUACCUGGGGAUGCCUUAUGGCAGCCGAGAGAACUCCCUCCUCUACUCCGAGAUCCCCAGGAAGGUCCGCAAGGAGGCGCUGCUGCUCCUGUCGUGGAAACAGAUGCUGGAUCACUUCCAGGCCACACCGCACCACGGGGUCUACUCCCGGGAGGAGGAGCUGCUGCGGGAGCGGAAACGCCUGGGCGUCUUUGGCAUCACCUCCUACGACUUCCACAGCGAGAGCGGCCUCUUCCUUUUCCAGGCCAGCAACAGUCUCUUCCACUGCCGGGAUGGCGGCAAGAAUGGCUUCAUGGUGUCCCCCAUGAAGCCCCUGGAAAUCAAGACCCAGUGUUCGGGGCCACGAAUGGACCCUAAGAUCUGUCCCGCCGACCCUGCCUUCUUCUCCUUUAUCAACAACAGUGACUUGUGGGUGGCCAACAUUGAGACGGGCGAGGAGCGGAGGCUGACCUUCUGCCACAAGGGCUUGUCUAGUGUCCUCGACGACCCCAGGUCUGCGGGUGUGGCCACCUUUGUCAUCCAGGAGGAAUUUGACCGCUUCACUGGCUACUGGUGGUGCCCCACAGCCUCUUGGGAGGGGUCAGAAGGCUGCAAGACGCUGCGGAUCCUGUACGAGGAAGUGGACGAAUCCGAGGUGGAGAUCAUCCACGUGCCCUCCCCUGCGCUGGAGGAAAGGAAGACGGACUCCUACCGGUACCCGCGGACAGGCAGCAAGAACCCCAAGAUCGCCUUGAAACUGGCUGAGUUCCAGACCGACAGUCAGGGCAAGAUCGUGUCGGCUCAGGAGAAGGAGCUGGUGCAGCCAUUCAGCUUGCUCUUCCCGAAGGUCGAGUACCUUGCCAGGGCCGGCUGGACCCAGGAUGGCAAGUAUGCCUGGGCCAUGUUCCUGGACCGGCCCCAGCAGCGCCUCCAGCUGGUCCUCCUGCCCCCAGCCCUGUUCAUCCCUACCACCGACAACGAGGAGCAGCGGGCGGCCUUCGCCAGGGCUGUGCCCAGGGAUGUCCAGCCGUACGUGGUGUAUGAGGAGGUCACCGAUGUGUGGAUCAAUGUUCACGACAUCUUCUACCCCUUCCCCCAAGCAGAGGGAGCAGACGAGCUCUGCUUCAUUCGCGCCAACGAGUGCAAGACUGGCUUCUGCCACCUGUACAAAGUCACCGCUGUCCUGCGGCCCCGCGGCUACGACUGGACCCAGCCCUUCAGCCCUGGGGAAGAUGAAUUUAAAUGCCCCAUCAAGGAGGAGAUCGCACUGACCAGCGGCGAGUGGGAGGUUUUGGCGAGGCACGGCUCCAAGAUCUGGGUCAACGAGGAGACGAAGCUGGUGUACUUCCAAGGCACGAAGGACACACCCCUGGAGCACCACCUUUAUGUGGUCAGCUACGAGGUGGCCGGCGAGAUCGUGCGCCUCACCACGCCUGGCUUCUCCCACAGCUGCUCCAUGAGCCAGAACUUCGACAUGUUCGUCAGCCACUAUAGCAGCGUGGGUACACCACCCUGCGUGCACGUCUACAAGCUCAGCGGCCCCGACGACGACCCUCUGCACAAGCAGCCCCGGUUCUGGGCCAGCAUGAUGGAGGCAGCCAGCUGCCCCCCGGAUUACGUGCCUCCAGAAAUCUUCCAUUUCCACACGCGGUCAGACGUGCGGCUCUACGGCAUGAUCUACAAGCCCCACUCCGUGCAGCCAGGGAGGAAGCACCCCACUGUCCUCUUUGUGUAUGGAGGCCCACAGGUGCAGCUGGUCAAUAACUCCUUCAAAGGAAUCAAGUACUUGCGGCUCAACACCCUGGCAUCCCUGGGCUAUGCUGUGGUCGUGAUUGACGGCAGGGGCUCCUGUCAGCGAGGGCUUCGAUUUGAAGGGGCUCUUAAAAACCAGAUGGGCCAGGUGGAAAUCGAGGACCAGGUGGAGGGCUUGCAGUUCGUGGCCGAGAAGUAUGGCUUCAUUGACCUGAGCCGUGUGGCCAUUCACGGUUGGUCCUACGGAGGCUUCCUCUCGCUCAUGGGGCUGAUCCACAAGCCCCAGGUGUUCAAGCAGCCCCACGGGGCCGAGCCCCCCUCCUCAUUGCCCGCCACUGCUGACCCCAGGAUGGCGUCCGGCUGCACAAAACCCCGCCAGCAGCUCUCUGUGGGAGGCUGAGCUCGGGACCCCGGCCCCGGACGGGCAGAGGUGGCCAUCGCAGGCGCCCCGGUCACAGUAUGGAUGGCCUACGACACGGGCUACACAGAACGCUACAUGGAUGUCCCAGAGAACAACCAGCUUGGCUAUGAGGCGGGUUCCGUGGCCCUGCACGUGGAGAAGCUGCCCAAUGAGCCCAACCGUCUGCUCAUCCUGCACGGCUUCCUGGAUGAGAACGUGCACUUUUUCCAUACAAAUUUCCUUGUCUCCCAGCUGAUCCGCGCAGGAAAGCCUUACCAGCUCCAGAUCUACCCCAACGAGAGACACAGCAUCCGCUGCCCUGAGUCCGGUGAGCACUAUGAAGUCACACUGCUGCACUUUCUUCAGGAACACCUCUGAGCCUGGGGCCGCCUCGGGAGGGGCCUGCACAGUCAGAGCACAAGUGGCUCCACAGCCGCCAUCGCGCACGCUGGGGGCAGGAGGGACCGAGUGGCCUCACAGGCCCCGCACCACGCCUCCUCCCACUGGCCCGCCCCGGGACUGCCCGCCCUGGGAGCCACCACCUUCGCCCCCAUGCCUUUGAUCGUUUUUGUUCAUGCUCCUGGGUUUUCUGCCUGCUGCUUCAGGGUUGCCAGGAUGGAGCACUGAGGCCAACGUCCACAAAGCACUUCCUCAAGCCAUCCCUCCACUCCCCAUUGUCUGGGAGCCUCACCUCCACUGGGCGUGGAGGCCUGAGGAGAUUCAGAGCAGCCUGGCCUUUGCGCUGCUCCCCCGGGCCAGGCCGGGGCGGGGUGGGGUGGGGUAGCCAGGCCUAGGCUCAGGCCCCGCCAUCGGUGCAGGAGCAUGCGGUUGCCUGUCCUCCCCACCUGCGCCCACUUCUUGUGAUUUCUUUUUUUGGCGGGGUGUGUGGGGGGGGCGUUUUUCUUUAUUAUUUAAAAGACAGAAAGCUAGGGGCGCCUAAAUCUAGAAUCUGGGUCUGCCACUGGCCGCAGGGUUCACCGCAGCCAGCACCCGAGACAGGAGCCGUGUGCCCAGCAGACCGCAAGUGCACAGGGGAGUGGGCAGCCCUCCGGCCCGGCUCUCCCCCAGCUUUCAGGCAGGCUCUGAAACGUGACCGGCUGGGGCUCUGCUGGCCAGCGGCUGCUGUCCCCUCUCCAGCCAGGCCAUCUGGUCCCACGUUUCUGCCUGGCCCGCACUGACCGGGCUUCCAGGGUUGGGAGUGGAACCCUCCCCACCUCAGGGUUAUCCUUACUCUUCCUUUUCCUCCCGCCAAGAGUUCUGCCAGGGGCGGGUUUAAAAAAAAAAGAACACCCAACAACAAAGAAAAUCCCACCAGAGAGACAAACCACCUCUACAUAUUACGGAAAGAAAAUAUUUUUGUCAAUUCUUAUUCUUUUAUAAUUAUGCGUGUAAGAAGUAGAUACAUUAAACAAUUCCAGAUGGAAGCGUU